RNAcentral lists this unclassified non-coding RNA (330 nucleotides) under plant metagenome. RNAcentral's name for it is "partial contains 5.8S ribosomal RNA, internal transcribed spacer 2, and large subunit ribosomal RNA". The stretch from base 1 to 106 matches the Rfam family "5.8S ribosomal RNA", at positions 49 to 154 of the family's 154-position model. The record is from RNAcentral.
CGAGAUGCGAUAAGUAAUGUGAAUUGCAGAAUUCCGUGAAUCAUCGAAUCUUUGAACGCACAUUGCGCCCUCUGGUAUUCCGGGGGGCAUGCCUGUCCGAGCGUCAUUGCGAACCCCUCAAGCACGGCUUGUGUGAUGGGCCCUCCCGCGUCUUGGUCGUCAAGACGGGCCCGAAAUGCAGUGGCGGCUUCGCGGUUAUCCGAUCAGCCAGAGCGUAUGGGGACUUUCUCUCUGUCACACGCCCGCGGCGCGGACCGACGCCUGUCGACCUUUAUUCAUCUUUUUCUCGGUUGACCUCGGAUCAGGUAGGGAUACCCGCUGAACUUAAGC